This 212-nucleotide ribosomal RNA is filed under the name uncultured bacterium. Its description in RNAcentral is "partial 16S ribosomal RNA". It matches the Rfam family "Bacterial small subunit ribosomal RNA", at positions 524 to 733 of the family's 1533-position model. The record is from RNAcentral.
UACGGGGGGAGCAAGCGUUGUUCGGAUUUACUGGGCGUAAAGGGCGCGUAGGCGGCCACCGCAAGUCGACUGUGAAAUCUCCGGGCUUAACCCGGAAAGGUCAGCCGAUACUGCGGGGCUAGAGUGCAGAAGGGGCAACUGGGAAUUCUCGGUGUAGCGGUGAAAUGCGUAGAUAUCGAGAGGAACACCUGCGGCGAAGGCGGGUUGCUGGG